AACGAACGCUGGCGGCAUGCCUAACACAUGCAAGUCGAACGAGAUCUUCGGGUCUAGUGGCGCACGGGUGCGUAACGCGUGGGAAUCUGCCCUUUGGUUCGGAAUAACAGUUGGAAACGACUGCUAAUACCGGAUGAUGAUGAAAGUCCAAAGAUUUAUCGCCAGAGGAUGAGCCCGCGUAGGAUUAGCUAGUUGGUGUGGUAAAGGCGCACGAAGGCGACGAUCCUUAGCUGGUCUGAGAGGAUGAUCAGCCACACUGGGACUGAGACACGGCCCAGACUCCUACGGGAGGCAGCAGUGGGGAAUAUUGGACAAUGGGCGAAAGCCUGAUCCAGCAAUGCCGCGUGAGUGAUGAAGGCCUUAGGGUUGUAAAGCUCGUUUACCCGGGAUGAUAAUGACAGUACCGGGAGAAUAAGCUCCGGCUAACUCCGUGCCAGCCGCCGCCGUAA
This 449-nucleotide ribosomal RNA is filed under the name uncultured bacterium. Its description in RNAcentral is "partial 16S ribosomal RNA". It matches the Rfam family "Bacterial small subunit ribosomal RNA", at positions 29 to 523 of the family's 1533-position model. The record is from RNAcentral.